Molecule: long non-coding RNA, 907 nt
Organism: Equus caballus (horse)
Lineage: Eukaryota; Metazoa; Chordata; Mammalia; Perissodactyla; Equidae
Source: RefSeq, a predicted model, not a curated record
GAGUCACUCUUGCAACCCAAAGCGGUGGACUGCAGGUGGACAAGAGUGUUCAAAAGGAACAUCAAGGUGCUGUGACCAGAAAGGAGAACAAGGCUGGGUGUGCCCACCUGAGUGAUGCCCACAGUUGUCUGUCCCCGGGGAGGACGUGGAGAGGCACAGACAAGAAGAGAUUGGUCCAGACUCUUUUGACUACACCAGUCGGUCUCUAGUCACGUAAGAAGUUCUUAGGAUCACAGGCCGAGGAAUGUAGCAGCCUCUGGAAGCUGGACAAAGCAAGGAGCUAUAUUCUCUUCUAGAACCUUCAAUAGUACAGUUCUGCUGACCCAUUUUGGAUUUCUAACCUCCAGAACUGGUCAUAGUAGAGGGAGCAGUCUGAGUGACCACAUGGGGACAUGUCAACAUCCACGCUUCCUUAGUUUCUGAGCUUUCAGAAGUGACCAGGUUUGUUUGCUGACCCAUCACUCCUUCCCAGGAUGCACUGCAAGAGAAACAAAAGAAAGGUCCUGUGAAGUGUCAAGUUGCGACUUGCUCUUCGCCCAGAGAGAACCUUCUUCACCAACAAUUACCACAUCAUCGUAAACACUCGGGAGAGACAUGAUGUAAAAAUGAAAUUACUGAAAACAUUUUUGGACUAACACUUGGCUUUAUAUAAACUCACAGACAAUCCUAUAAGGCACUCAAGCAGAUUAUGGGUUUGAGCAAAGCUGGAAAAUUGCUGCCAUUAUAUUGUUAUUAUUAACACCUUGUAAUUAGCCCUAAGGAAUCCCAAAGUUCUCUUUCUUGAUUUGGCUUUAAUGAAGGAAAAUUGCUACCUUUGCAAGUUGGAUGGCGCCCGUUCUGAUUAACCUUAAGUAUAUAGGACUAUUAUUUUGAAAAUGUUUGCUGUCAUGUGAAUAUUAGCAUUACA